Molecule: ribosomal RNA, 122 nt
Filed under: Kwoniella mangrovensis
Lineage: Eukaryota; Fungi; Basidiomycota; Tremellomycetes; Tremellales; Cryptococcaceae
Source: RNAcentral
AUCUACGGCCAUAGAACCUAUAAAAUGCCAGGUCCCGUUAGCUCCCUGAAGCCAAGUUGGGUAUCGCUCGGUCAGUACCAAGGUGGGGGACCACUUGGGAAUCCCGGGUGCUGUAGUUUUUG